Molecule: ribosomal RNA, 222 nt
Filed under: uncultured crenarchaeote
Lineage: Archaea; Thermoproteati; Thermoproteota
Description: partial 16S ribosomal RNA
Rfam family: Archaeal small subunit ribosomal RNA
Source: RNAcentral
UGAAAAGUUGGGGGAGCAAAACUGGAUUAGAUACNCGGGUAGUCCCAGCUGUAAACGAUGCAGACUCGGUGAUGCACUGGCUUUUGGCCAGUGCAGUGCCGCAGGGAAGCCGUUAAGUUUGCCGCCUGGGAAGUACGUACGCAAGUAUGAAACUUAAAGGAAUUGGCGGGGGAGCACCACAAGGGGUGAAGCCUGCGGUUACAAUUGGAUUCAACGCCGGGA